UUCCUGGUGGCCUAAUGGUUAGGAUUCUGGGCUUUCACUGCAGUGGUCCAGGUUCAAUUCCUGGCUGGGGCA
Transfer RNA from Ovis aries (sheep), 72 nucleotides. It matches the Rfam family "tRNA". From Rfam's summary of the family: Transfer RNA (tRNA) molecules are approximately 80 nucleotides in length. The record is from Rfam. Lineage: Eukaryota; Metazoa; Chordata; Mammalia; Artiodactyla; Bovidae.